Molecule: ribosomal RNA, 492 nt
Filed under: uncultured bacterium
Lineage: Bacteria
Description: partial 16S ribosomal RNA
Rfam family: Bacterial small subunit ribosomal RNA
Source: RNAcentral
AGUGAACGCUGGCGGUAGGCCUAACACAUGCAAGUCGAACGGCAGCACAGUAAGAGCUUGCUCUUACGGGUGGCGAGUGGCGGACGGGUGAGGAAUACAUCGGAAUCUACUUUUUCGUGGGGGAUAACGUAGGGACACUUACGCUAAUACCGAAUACGACCUACGGGUGAAAGCAGCGGAGCUUCGGACCCUGCGCGAUUGAAUGAGCCGAUGUCGGAUUAGCUAGUUGGCGGGGUAAAGGCCCACCAAGGCGACGAUCCGUAGCUGGUCUGAGAGGAUGAUCAGCCACACUGGAACUGAGACACGGUCCAGACUCCUACGGGAGGCAGCAGUGGGGAAUAUUGGGCAAUGGGCGCAAGCCUGAUCCAGCAAUACCGCGUGAGUGAAGAAGGCCUUCGGGUUGUAAAGCCCUUUUGUUGGGAAAGAAAAGCAGCAUGUUAAUCCCCCGCUGUUCUGACGGUACCCAAAGAAUAAGCACCGGCUAACUUCGUG